This 252-nucleotide ribosomal RNA is filed under the name uncultured bacterium. Its description in RNAcentral is "partial 16S ribosomal RNA". It matches the Rfam family "Bacterial small subunit ribosomal RNA", at positions 524 to 776 of the family's 1533-position model. The record is from RNAcentral.
UACGUAGGGUGCGAGCGUUAAUCGGAAUUACUGGGCGUAAAGUGUGCGCAGGCGGCCGCGCAAGUCGAGUGUGAAAGCCCCGGGCUUAACUUGGGAAUUGCGCUCGAACUACGUGGCUGGAGUGUGGCAGAGGAAGGUGGAAUUCCAGGUGUAGCGGUGAAAUGCGUAGAGAUCUGGAGGAACACCGAUGGCGAAGGCAGCCUUCUGGGCCAACACUGACGCUCAUGCACGAAAGCGUGGGGAGCAAACAGG